Molecule: long non-coding RNA, 2260 nt
Filed under: Marmota monax (woodchuck)
Lineage: Eukaryota; Metazoa; Chordata; Mammalia; Rodentia; Sciuridae
Source: RNAcentral
GAAUUCUUCAGUCAAAGCAGCCAACUUACUCAGCACCACAAAGUUCAAACCGAGAAAUGCCUUAUGAGUGCAGUAAAUGUGGAAUAGUCUUCAGUCAGUGGUCUGCUAUAAUUGAGCAGUGAAUGUGGGAAAGGCUUCAGCCAAAGAUCCAACCUUAUUCAACACCAGAAAGUUCAUACUAAAGAAAGGCCCUAGAAUGAGAUGGAGAUAGCAGGGAAUGUGCUAUCUCCAUAUUUAUUGCAUCAACACAUUGGAAAGCCUCAGUAAUGGAGUCAUCAGCAGGAAGUGAACACCAUGCAUCUGAACAUUCAUGGUGGGGACAUUUCUUAUGAGUACCAGGCUCAGGCAGCUUUUAAGCAGCUAUAUUUUGUUUUCUGAGUACUUUCACACUGAAUCUCUACAGUAGAAGCCAUCAUCUCAGUUGGUGUUUGCUAGUCACCUCAGUGUGCUCAGACUUCUUUGCUGUCCCCCUCUCCAGAGGAAUCAUAAGUAGCCUGGACCUUUGUUUAUUGUCAUUCCACCCGACUAGGAUAUGGCCCUAACCAGCUUUGACCAACAAAACCCAGUUUGUCUUCUGCUGGUGCCAAGUCUUUCCUUCUUUGGCCACAUUAUGAGACACCUAUGAUCUUUAUGAUGAAUUUUUCUAGCCUUCAGGCCAUCAGUCUGGGAACUACAUGCAUGUGUGAGAGUAAAAAUUUAAUGUUUAAGCCACAUUCUUUCUCCCUUCUAUUUUUAAAAAAAUUUUCAGUGCUGGGAAUUAAAUGCAGAAGCCCUCUACCACUGAGCUGCAUCCCUAGCCCUUUUUAUUUUGCUUUGAGAUAGGAUCUUGCUAUUCUGCUGAGGCUGGCCUUGAACUUAGAAUCCUCCUCCUUUAGCCCAAUCAUGGGGUUAUAGGCAUGUACCCCCACACCUGAGUAAGCCAUAUUUCAUCUCAAAAGUUUCUGUUCACUGGCCGAGAUGGCUUGAGAACAGAAUUGGUCUUACUUGCUUUGUUGUCAGGCCUCCAGAGAUAGACUGUAGGACCUAUUGUGACUAGCCUUGUGAUCUGAUUGUCAGGACUUUUUGAAGGUCUGGCAGUCACCAGAGGUGGGGACAGUUAUGGGGACCACGUGUCCUUUGUGGGGAAGUAUAAAUUGGUUUCUUUUUCUCAUGUGAGGUUACACAGUGUCCAUUACUGUUGACUGAAACUGUUCUCUGGGGCCUAUAAAAGAAUCGUGCUUUAGCAGCCAGAAUUGGGGAGGUUUGUGUUACUGAUGUUUGCACUACAAGAAUCAGAUGAGAACCAUGUUUUGUUACAGAAACAUUGAUUAUGAGUGAUGGUAAACUGGAGUUGAUGUGCCCAUUUGAACACUGUGUCUUGAAAUGUUCUGGGGACUAUGGCUAUUUAAGAUGAGGGGUUUACAGAAACCUCAACCUAUAGAGCCAUCUCCUGUGGUAAAUCACCUCCAAGACCUUAAAACUUUAUGCCUGAGAAGAAUGUUUUGUUCACACAGGGCCUUGAGCCAUGCCAGAUAGUUUAUGUUAGUAAUGUGUUUUAUGAUAGGACCUUAGGUCUCCUAAUACUAAUCUGAUGUCUGUAGGGGCCAAGUAAUUAAGGGGAGCUGCACAAGUGUCCCUUGUCUAGGUGACAAAACAACAACAAAAAGUGUGGACCUCUGUGCCUGGUGAUGCACAUCUGUAAUCCCAGUGGCUCAGGAGGCUGAGGCAGGAGGAUUGUGAGUACAAAGCCAGCCUCAGCUACUUAAUGAGGCCCUAAGCAAUUUAUAAGACCCUGUCUCUAAAUAUUUUUUAAAAAGCAGCGGGGUGGGGGGAGCGGGGUUGGAGAUGUGGCUUAGUAGCUAAUGACCCCCGGUUUAAUCCUUCAUACAAAAAUAAAAAGUGGAACAAGGCUUGGGUGAGUUUCCCUGGUUGGCAGUAAUUCUUGUGUGUGGUCAAACAUUAUUGCUGGAGAUUUAAGUACUGUUUGCAUGACUCCACUGGAGGGGCAAGUUUGAUACUUGUGCUUGCUCUCUAGAUUCUGCCCUGUGCACCUCUUUAUUUUCUUUUAACUUUGGGUACCAGGUAUGGAACCCAAAGCCUCAUGCAUGCCGUGGAUGUGCUCUACUAAUGAGUUAACCUCGCCCCCCAGCUCUUUGUUGAUAUGAAUUUCUUUGUAAUAUAUUCACUAACAUCUUUACCCAGUUCCUUGAGUCUUUCUAUUGAAUUAUUGAAUUUGAGGUGGCUUUGGGGAUUCAACAACACAUUUACAUGGUUUUUUUUU